Molecule: RNA transcript, 2024 nt
Organism: Myotis myotis
Lineage: Eukaryota; Metazoa; Chordata; Mammalia; Chiroptera; Vespertilionidae
Gene: WDR45
Gene name: WD repeat domain 45
Exons: 11
Source: RefSeq, a predicted model, not a curated record
GAAAAUUCCAUCCCUGUUUUCUCAAAGUCAAGGGUGGAUAGUCUCAGCUGUCAAGGUCUCCAAGAUCGCCUCCGCCCGAGGGCUCCCACCCUGUCUUCUCUCUAGGAGUCUGGGAGAACAAGGUAUUAACAGAACGCGGCCACUCUAGCCCACCUCGGAGGUCCAAGUCUCGUUUGCCCAGAAAGUUAACUCCUCAUGCUCUUCAAGCUGAACCAAAGUGGUAAAUCCUCGGCCCUUUCUCACUUAGCCAGGGAAGGCUCCCUCGCCCACCCCCUCUUCAUUUCCCUCAAACACUCAUGACCACGCGGAGCUUCCUCCCCUCUCUGCGCCCUCCUAGGAGAACGCAGUUUUCAUUCGCGUUGUUCCAAAGCCCCAAAACCGGAACAAGGAGGGCUACGGCCUCACCUUCCAGCCAGGAUGUGUCAUUUCCGGUGCCAGGCUCCCUCCCCCGGAAGUGAGACCUGAUGUAAACAAGGGAGCCGGGUGUCAAGGCCCUGGAGGUCAGAAAGCUGUGCCGCGGGCGGCACCCAGACCUGGGCCUAGGAUCGGGAGGCGGGAGCGGAGGUCAGGGAAGCAAUCCUGAAUCAUGACUCAGCAACCACUUCGAGGGGUGACCAGCCUGCGUUUCAACCAAGACCAAAGCUGCUUUUGCUGUGCCAUGGAGACAGGCGUACGCAUCUACAACGUGGAACCAUUGAUGGAGAAGGGGCACCUGGACCAUGAGCAGGUGGGCAGCAUGGGCCUGGUGGAAAUGCUGUACCGCUCCAACCUGCUGGCCCUGGUGGGUGGUGGUAGCAGUCCCAAGUUCUCAGAGAUCUCAGCAGUGCUGAUCUGGGAUGAUGCCCGGGAGGGCAAGGACUCCAAGGACAAGCUGGUGCUGGAGUUCACCUUCACCAAGGCAGUGCUGGCUGUGCGCAUGCGCCAUGACAAAAUUGUGAUUGUGCUGAAAAACCGCAUCUAUGUAUACUCCUUCCCUGACAAUCCCCGGAAGCUGUUUGAGUUCGACACCCGGGACAACCCAAAGGGGCUCUGUGACCUCUGCCCCAGCCUGGAAAAACAGCUGCUAGUGUUCCCAGGACACAAGUGCGGGAGUCUGCAACUUGUGGACCUGGCAAGCACAAAGCCAGGCACUUCAUCUGCGCCAUUUACCAUCAACGCACAUCAGAGCGACGUGGCCUGUGUGUCCCUGAACCAGCCAGGCACCGUAGUGGCCUCGGCCUCUCAGAAGGGCACCCUUAUUCGCCUUUUUGACACACAGUCCAAGGAAAAACUGGUGGAACUACGCCGAGGCACUGAUCCUGCCACCCUCUACUGCAUCAACUUCAGCCAUGACUCUUCCUUCCUGUGCGCUUCCAGUGAUAAGGGCACGGUCCAUAUCUUUGCCCUCAAGGAUACCCGCCUCAACCGCCGCUCUGCCUCGAGUGGGCAAAGUCGGGCCUAUGAUUGGACAAUAUGUGGACUCUCAGUGGAGCCUGGCGAGUUUCACAGUGCCUGCUGAAUCGGCCUGCAUCUGCGCCUUCGGUCGCAACACUUCCAAGAACGUCAACUCUGUCAUUGCCAUCUGUGUAGAUGGGACCUUCCACAAAUAUGUCUUCACUCCUGAUGGAAACUGCAACAGAGAGGCUUUCGAUGUGUACCUUGACAUCUGUGAUGAUGAUGACUUUUAAGGACCCCGUGGGUUGUGCUAGGGACCUGCAGUGGCAAAGUGCAAAGCAUUUAUGGGAGUGGGAGUGCUGAAAGCCACCAGCCAGCAAGCACUAAUGGGGCAGGUGCACACUUUCCACUCCUCAGAGCAAUGCCUAAACAGCUCAUUUCUCCCAAGUACUUCUUGUGUCCUUAAGGACUGUGUGCCCACAGGGCCAGGCCAGGGACCCAGAGGGGCAGCAGAUGCCCUGGGGCUCCCAACCUGGAGAAGAGUACUAGGGCCCCAGAGGAAGUGCCCUAAUCCAACCUGUGGGGAUAAAAAAAUUUUCCCAGAAAGAGCCAAUCACUGAUAUGAUGAAUUUGAAUAAAAAUUAAUAGUA